GCUCGUAGAUGUUUCUCAUCAGCUCCACGAAGCUCUGCAAGCCUUUUAAUUUGGUCUCCAGUUCGGUCCGCCGGAGACACUCCGCAUCCAGGUCCUGAGGGUGGGAGCAGCGAACCUCCAUUUCCGGCAAGCUGUGCCUUCGGUCAAGUCUGCUCCAAGAUGCCCGCUCACCGCUCACCCUCUCCCUCCACCUCGUCUGCUUUGCUCGCUGGUAGGACACCAUUCCAUCAUGGUCCCUCUGGAGGGGAGAGUGUGGACAUUGCGGCCAGAGGGACCCACAGUGUGCUCUUGGGCAGGUGAAGCCCUCCUUCCUCGGCUCGCCUGUCUAUCAGGGGUGGGGUUGCAUGUGUGUGCACGUGUGGGGGUUGGACCAAGCCCACCCCUGAUGCGUGACAGAUAUGGCAGAGUCAGAACUCAACGCAGGUGGGUUCUCUCUCUUCUUAGAUUUGUCUCCUCCUUACUCAGGCCCACCUUGUGUUUGGAAUAAGAACGUUGCUGGAUGGGAGACGGGAUCUCUGGGUCACUGAUCUUAACCCCUGCCUCUAAUCUUGGCCUCUGGGGCUGAGGGUGAUGGGUGGAUGUGGGGAUUCUGAGCUUCCUGUUUUCUUCCCUCCUCUCCAGGGAAUGCCUGAAUCACUGGCGGCUCUAAUUACAGCCGCCCGCCUUCCCAGGUUCCUGACCUCACGGAGGCAGCGUCACCCAUUGCCCACAGCAGCUGGCUGGAACGGCCCCCUCUUUUCCACCAGCCUGCCUGAGAAACCCAGGGGAGUGGACCCAAGCCGACAAGAGCCCGCUGGGCACGGGGUCUCUGAAACUCCGUGCUGAGCACACGCGGCUCCCCAGCCACUGCCCUGGCUUCCGAGAGUCUGUCUGCAGGGGAGCUCUUAGGAUGCAGGUCGUGGGGGUGGGGAGGAGGGUGGGCCAGGGAGACGGGCCUGCAGUCUGGGGCCCAGCAGAGCCCGGGAAGCCCGGGAAGUUUACUUGCACUCUUUCCUGUGCAAGCGGGCUCCAGAGCCACACUACUGGGGCUCAGAUCCUGGCUCCUCGCUCCCUAGCCACGUGACCUUGAAGAAGCUGCUUGCGCACCUCGGUCAUGAUAAUUGUGAUGUCACGAGGGUUAUAUAAGUUAAUACAUGGAGUGUUUACAAAGUG
Long non-coding RNA from Leopardus geoffroyi (Geoffroy's cat), 1152 nucleotides. RefSeq lists it as uncharacterized. The record is from RefSeq and is a predicted model, not a curated record. The transcript has 2 exons. NCBI's taxonomy places the organism in Eukaryota, Metazoa, Chordata, Mammalia, Carnivora, Felidae.